AUAAAGCAAAAAGAAAUUGCCAACAAUGUCAUUGAUGGCUAUGGAGAGAUCCUUUUGGCUGACCAAAUCAGAGAGAAACAACAACCAACCUCAUUUUUUUUCACAUCCAUGUGCUUAAAUUUCAUCAACAUGACAGAAAAUCAAAGUUUUCGAGUGUCCUUAUUUGACAAGCAUAUCGAAACAGCAUGGAGGAACUACAGGUUCCUCCAUUUCCCAAUAAAUACUGGAGGUAAUGAAAAGUCCACACAUGGAAAUCACUGGACCUUGCUUGUCCUAGACAAACAAGACAAUUUAUGGAGGUUCUACAACUCACUAAGGCCAAGGAGGGAUGAUGCAGAAGACAAAUAUGUCAAAGAUGCAAAAGAAUUGGUAACGAGUGCAAUUUUCUCUGAUCCAUCAUCAGCUUUAUGUGAUGAUAAUUUUCAUAGAAUCCCAUCGAUUUGUCCGUAAAUUUCUCUUUUAUUUAAAAAUUAUUUUUUUGCAGCAAGAUUACGUGGAGAAUUUUUUGAAAGCUUGCCUUGAAAGAGACG
Non-coding RNA from Camellia sinensis, 530 nucleotides. The record is from RefSeq and is a predicted model, not a curated record. NCBI's taxonomy places the organism in Eukaryota, Viridiplantae, Streptophyta, Magnoliopsida, Ericales, Theaceae.